Molecule: long non-coding RNA, 469 nt
Filed under: Chinchilla lanigera (long-tailed chinchilla)
Lineage: Eukaryota; Metazoa; Chordata; Mammalia; Rodentia; Chinchillidae
Description: lncRNA (ENSCLAG00000027522.1)
Source: RNAcentral
CAGCCAUCCUUCCUGCCCGGAGCUGGGUGAGGUAACCUCUCUGUGUGCCAAAGGCAGGGGCACAGGGAGUGAUUCACAGCUCUGCUCGCCUUGUUUGUCUACUUCACAACCAGCCCCAGCCCUCCGCGCCUAGUGCGGAUCAGCUGUUCUCCGUACCUAAGCGUAUCUCUGGUUUAGCAGGGCAAGCAGAUCCUGUUUGCUGAAUGCUGUCAGGACCAGCCCCACAGGGGACCCACGGCCAGCCAGCACCAAGAGAAGCCUGCUUUGCAGACAGGACUCAGGUUAUCUGGAGGGAAAGGUGAGUGGGAGAGUCUCCGCCUUCCCUACCCGAGUGUGCAGUGACUCGCGCAGUCUCUUUAUCAUUCGCAGGGUCACGUGGCGCUGCGGAAGUGGGCACAGUGCCCCGCGGUGUGAACUAUGGGCUUUUCAGAAUCCAACAGGCUUGUGGGGCGCAGUCCAUGCCAGUGAC